UACGAAGGGGGCUAGCGUUGCUCGGAAUCACUGGGCUUAAAGGGCGCGUAGGCGGGUGUCCAAGUCAGGGGUGAAAUCCGGCAGCUCAACUGUCGAACAGCUUCUGAUACUGGAUGUCUUGAGGGGGGUAGGGGCAUGUGGAACUUCCGGUGGAGCGGUGAAAUGCGUAGAUAUCGGAAGGAACGCCGGUGGCGAAAGCGACGUGCUGGACCCUUUCUGACGCUGAGGCGCGAAAGCCAGGGGAGCAAACGGG
This 253-nucleotide ribosomal RNA is filed under the name uncultured bacterium. RNAcentral describes it as "partial 16S ribosomal RNA". It matches the Rfam family "Bacterial small subunit ribosomal RNA", at positions 524 to 776 of the family's 1533-position model. The record is from RNAcentral.